This 25-nucleotide non-coding RNA is filed under the name Cricetulus griseus (Chinese hamster). The record is from RNAcentral. Lineage: Eukaryota; Metazoa; Chordata; Mammalia; Rodentia; Cricetidae.
AAAUAUAAUCAUUGAUGCUUGAAUG